CAUGCAAGUCGAGCGGCAGCGGGAAGUAGCUUGCUACUUUGCCGGCGAGCGGCGGACGGGUGAGUAAUGUCUGGGAAACUGCCUGAUGGAGGGGGAUAACUACUGGAAACGGUAGCUAAUACCGCAUGACCUCGCAAGAGCAAAGUGGGGGACCUUCGGGCCUCACGCCAUCGGAUGUGCCCAGAUGGGAUUAGCUAGUAGGUGAGGUAAUGGCUCACCUAGGCGACGAUCCCUAGCUGGUCUGAGAGGAUGACCAGCCACACUGGAACUGAGACACGGUCCAGACUCCUACGGGAGGCAGCAGUGGGGAAUAUUGCACAAUGGGCGCAAGCCUGAUGCAGCCAUGCCGCGUGUGUGAAGAAGGCCUUAGGGUUGUAAAGCACUUUCAGCGAGGAGGAAGGGUUCAGUGUUAAUAGCACUGUUCAUUGACGUUACUCGCAGAAGAAGCACCGGCUAACUCCGUGCCAGCAGCCGCGGUAAUACGGAGGGUGCAAGCGUUAAUCGGAAUUACUGGGCGUAAAGCGCACGCAGGCGGUUUGUUAAGUCAGAUGUGAAAUCCCCGAGCU
Molecule: ribosomal RNA, 566 nt
Filed under: Rahnella sp. Z3S-53
Lineage: Bacteria; Pseudomonadati; Pseudomonadota; Gammaproteobacteria; Enterobacterales; Yersiniaceae
Description: bacterial SSU rRNA
Rfam family: Bacterial small subunit ribosomal RNA
Source: RNAcentral